CUGGCGCUUUAAGAUUAGCCUGCGUCCGAUUAGCUAGUUGGUGGGGUAAGGGCCUACCAAGGCGACGAUCGGUAGCUGGUCUGAGAGGAUGACCAGCCACACUGGAACUGAGACACGGUCCAGACUCCUACGGGAGGCAGCAGUGGGGAAUAUUGGACAAUGGGGGCAACCCUGAUCCAGCAAUGCCGCGUGUGUGAAGAAGGCCUGAGGGUUGUAAAGCACUUUCAGUGGGGAGGAGGGUUGAUAGGUUAAGAGCUAAUUAACUGGACGUUACCCACAGAAGAAGCACCGGCUAACUCCGUGCCAGCAGCCGCGGUAAUACGGAGGGUGCGAGCGUUAAUCGGAAUUACUGGGCGUAAAGGGUGCGUAGGUGGUUGAUUAAGUUAUCUGUGAAAUUCCUGGGCUUAACCUGGGACGGUCAGAUAAUACUGGUUGACUCGAGUAUGGGAGAGGGUAGUGGAAUUUCCGGUGUAGCGGUGAAAUGCGUAGAGAUCGGAAGGAACACCAGU
RNAcentral lists this ribosomal RNA (509 nucleotides) under Legionella pneumophila. Its description in RNAcentral is "bacterial SSU rRNA". It matches the Rfam family "Bacterial small subunit ribosomal RNA", at positions 212 to 713 of the family's 1533-position model. The record is from RNAcentral. Lineage: Bacteria; Pseudomonadati; Pseudomonadota; Gammaproteobacteria; Legionellales; Legionellaceae.